Molecule: long non-coding RNA, 1069 nt
Organism: Ananas comosus (pineapple)
Lineage: Eukaryota; Viridiplantae; Streptophyta; Magnoliopsida; Poales; Bromeliaceae
Exons: 4
Source: RefSeq, a predicted model, not a curated record
CACGGUGGAUACAGCCUGUGCCGACGGGCACUUAAAACCUUGCUAUUUACAUAUACCUUGUUUUGCUGAAAAAAUAGUUUAUUUUUGGCAUUUUAUAGUUAAAGUAUGAUAUCGAAGAUGAUAGUAUGUCGUAGGUUAUAAAGGCCCUUGAAAAGAAAUGGAAGGACUUCAAGUGUGAAUUGAAAAAAAAGCACUAUGAUGCCCAUAAAAUUUAUGAGGAACGUGUAGCUGAUCGUGAUCCAAGGGUCAUUCCUGAUCAAUGGAAGCAUUUAGUUGAUUUUUGGAAUAGUGAGGAAGAACAGGCUCGUUGUUUAAGGAACAAGAUUAAUCAUUCAAAGCAGGUUACUUUCCAUACUGCUGGAUCGAAAAGCUUCACUCAUAUUCGUGAAGAGGAAAAUGUUGCCAAUGUAAAAGAAGAUGCUGCCAAUGGGCUUGAAAGAGAUGCAUGGUACUCGUCAUCAUCAUGCACUCAUGCAAUUCCAACUCAUAGGGUUUGUUUCUACAUCAUGCACUCACGCAAUUUAGUACCUUUUACAAUUUAAUUUGUAAUAAAUACAUAUUCUAGUACAAUAUGAAAUAAAUUUUCUCCAAAUUGUAGAUACAUCAAAAGAAAAUUAAUGAGGAUGCAGCAUGAAAUAUCUCGAAAUGAAGUAAGUUGCCAUUUUGAAUCUUUUUAAAGCAUUUUAACUUUUGUUUAACUCAAUGUGUAUUGAAAUAUCUUUCGUAAUGCUUGAAAAUGGUAUAUAGGAUGGAAAAGAAGUGACAUUAAUGUCUCUCGGAAAACCACAUCGUCCUAUGGCACGAGGAAUUCUAUUUAGUAGAGAUCCAUCUACUAUAGUUGGAGGAGAAAAACUAGGCCAACAGUAUUGGGAGGUGUAUAUUGAGGUUGUCAUAAUGUCCAAUGAGAGUCUGAUUCGUAGUUUUUAAAACUUGAAGACAGUUAGUGAUGCUACUCGAAAAUCAAUUGUUUGGCCCUCUUAUAUUAAGAUGGAAAGUGAAGAAAUCCUAUGACUUUGAACAUUUUGGAGAUAGCUGGUUUGAAGCUAUAUGAUCUGAAUGUUAUGCAAAU